This 451-nucleotide ribosomal RNA is filed under the name uncultured organism. Its description in RNAcentral is "partial 16S ribosomal RNA". It matches the Rfam family "Bacterial small subunit ribosomal RNA", at positions 330 to 797 of the family's 1533-position model. The record is from RNAcentral.
CGUACACUCCUGCGGGAGGCAGCAGUGGGGAAUAUUGGACAAUGGGCGCAAGCCUGAUCCAGCCAUGCCGCGUGAGUGAUGAAGGCCCUAGGGUUGUAAAGCUCUUUCACCGGAGAAGAUAAUGACGGUAUCCGGAGAAGAAGCCCCGGCUAACUUCGUGCCAGCAGCCGCGGUAAUACGAAGGGGGCUAGCGUUGUUCGGAAUUACUGGGCGUAAAGCGCACGUAGGCGGAUCGAUCAGUCAGGGGUGAAAUCCCAGGGCUCAACCCUGGAACUGCCUUUGAUACUGUCGAUCUGGAGUAUGGAAGAGGUGAGUGGAAUUCCGAGUGUAGAGGUGAAAUUCGUAGAUAUUCGGAGGAACACCAGUGGCGAAGGCGGCUCACUGGUCCAUUACUGACGCUGAGGUGCGAAAGCGUGGGGAGCAAACAGGAUUAGAAACCCUAGUAGUCCCA